This 497-nucleotide ribosomal RNA is filed under the name uncultured bacterium. RNAcentral's name for it is "partial 16S ribosomal RNA". It matches the Rfam family "Bacterial small subunit ribosomal RNA", at positions 28 to 507 of the family's 1533-position model. The record is from RNAcentral.
GAUGAACGCUGGCGGCGUGCCUAAUACAUGCAAGUCGAGCGAACGGACGAGAAGCUUGCUUUUCUGAUGUUAGCGGCGGACGGGUGAGUAACACGUGGAUAACCUACCUAUAAGACUGGGAUAACUUCGGGAAACCGGAGCUAAUACCGGAUAAUAUUUUGAACCGCAUGGUUCAAAAGUGAAAGACGGUCUUGCUGUCACUUAUAGAUGGAUCCGCGCUGCAUUAGCUAGUUGGUAAGGUAACGGCUUACCAAGGCAACGAUGCAUAGCCGACCUGAGAGGGUGAUCGGCCACACUGGAACUGAGACACGGUCCAGACUCCUACGGGAAGCAGCAGUAGGGAAUCUUCCGCAAUGGGCGAAAGCCUGACGGAGCAACGCCGCGUGAGUGAUGAAGGUCUUCGGAUCGUAAAACUCUGUUAUUAGGGAAGAACAUAUGUAUAAGUAACUGUGCACAUCUUGACGGUACCUAAUCAGAAAGCCACGGCUAACUACGUG